Molecule: non-coding RNA, 73 nt
Organism: Halocaridina rubra (Hawaiian volcano shrimp)
Lineage: Eukaryota; Metazoa; Arthropoda; Malacostraca; Decapoda; Atyidae
Source: the annotation of a GenBank genome assembly
ACCUUCUGUGGUGUAAUUGGUAGCGCCUUGGCUUAAUAUUUAUAAGUCCCAGGUUCAAGUCCUGGUCGGGGUA